Molecule: ribosomal RNA, 460 nt
Filed under: uncultured bacterium
Lineage: Bacteria
Description: partial 16S ribosomal RNA
Rfam family: Bacterial small subunit ribosomal RNA
Source: RNAcentral
CCUACGGGAGGCUGCAGUGAGGAAUAUUGGUCAAUGGGCGGGAGCCUGAACCAGCCAAGCCGCGUGAGGGAAGACGGUCCUAUGGAUUGUAAACCUCUUUAGGCGGGGAGCAAUGCCGGGCACGCGUGCCCGGAGGGAGAGUACCCGCAGAAUAAGCAUCGGCUAACUCCGUGCCAGCAGCCGCGGUAAUACGGGGGAUGCGAGCGUUAUCCGGAUUGAUUGGGUUUAAAGGGUGCGUGGGCGGAGUGUUAAGUCAGCGGUAAAAUGUCCGGGCUCAACCCGGGCCGGCCGUUGAAACUGGGGAUCUUGAGUGGGCGAGAGGUAUGCGGAAUGCGAGGUGUAGCGGUGAAAUGCAUAGAUAUCACGAAGAACUCCGAUUGCGAAGGCAGCAUACCGGCGCCCGACUGACGCUGAGGCACGAAAGCGUGGGGAUCGAACAGGAUUAGAUACCCUAGUAGUC